GGAUCCAGAGGUGUUUGAAAUUCUGUCCUGCUUUCUCCAGGCCUUUGUGUGCUGUCGCUGUAAUAAAAACAAGCUGGGGAAAAAAAGUCAAAUGGCUUGACAUGUAGAUAUCCUGUGAACUCCAUUCCAGAAGCUGAUAAAAAUGUUUUGGGAGGUGAGCUCAUGUCAUUUAGGAAGCAGCUUUUCCUGGGGUUGGAAUGGGUCAAAAAUACAGCAAUGUAGGGGAUGAAGCACAAAGUAAAGGAGGGAUCCUGGCACUGGAAUAUCCUACUGAGCGUGGCAUUGUCACUAGCUGGGAUGACGUGGGAAAGCACCAGUUCCUUGGCACUGUGCGGUGAGCUCUGUGGGAAAUGCCAGUUCCAGGAUGUCUCAGGUGCAACAAGGUAUUCUCAUGGGAGAAGCUGCUACAUUUCCUAAAUAUCCCAAGUAUCCCAGUCUCUUUGGGAAUUAUCUGGGUCUGUAUGUGUAUACUCUGCUGUUUGGGGGGAAGCUCUGCAGGGAAAUGCUCCUGGUACUGUUUUUCUAUGGAAAAUGCUGCUGAAAGGGAGAUACCAGGGCUGGGAUUGUUCUGUAUUCUCUGCUGACUAGGAUGAGGUGCGGUUAUAACCCAUCUAUCUGAACUGUCUGUGCCAAGUCCAUAGACCCAGGCUGUUCCAGAUGGACAGACCAAAACUGAUCCAGGAGCAGUGGGAGCGCCUCAGUUGGUAUUUGGAAAUGAAUUGCCCACCUGCUCCUCUAGAUGGAAGCACAGUACUUGGAUUUCAUUCACUCCCUUACUUGCUGCAAGCACACUCUUCUAACUACAUCCCGCUGUGGUUUUUCUACCUCACAAUUUUCCUGCUGCCUGCAUUCAGCAAGAAAUAACUCUUUCAUGUUGGGGGAAAAACAAAUAAAAUUCAAAUUGUUGGCCUGUAUUUUAUGUUUCCUCAUCUGCAUCUGGAAAUUGUCCUGUGUGCACUGGUGUGUGUUCCUUCUCUGGGUAAUGCUGGAUACAAGAGCAGACAGUCUGAAAUUGAGUUAAGAGGAGGAAUUAAGGAAGGUUAAAA
Long non-coding RNA from Hirundo rustica (Barn swallow), 1046 nucleotides. RefSeq lists it as uncharacterized. The record is from RefSeq and is a predicted model, not a curated record. NCBI's taxonomy places the organism in Eukaryota, Metazoa, Chordata, Aves, Passeriformes, Hirundinidae. The transcript is spliced from 3 exons.